Molecule: non-coding RNA, 3528 nt
Organism: Malus domestica (apple)
Lineage: Eukaryota; Viridiplantae; Streptophyta; Magnoliopsida; Rosales; Rosaceae
Source: RefSeq, a predicted model, not a curated record
AAGGUCCUCCUCCUCCCCCUCCAUAGACAAAUGAAGCCUCUCUCUCUCUCCCCCUACAAUAUUUUGUGGUCUCCCUAUUUAUAGAUAUAUAAUUCCUAUACCAAAACUCAAAACUCAAACCCUCGGUUAUUGUUCACGGACAGUGGAGUGGCGAAAAUGCCCCCCAAAAUGAUCUUCUUAGUGUUAUUUUCCCCACUUUUGCACAGCAAAAUGGCGAUUUUACCCAUCGUCUCCGCCGGGUCGACCAUCGCUGGGGUUCCUGUUCAACUUCUUUGCUUUUUGUUUUUCUGAUUUCCAUCUCUCUUGUCUCUCGCGAUUCUUAUUUUGCAAGCUGCAUCUUUUUCUAUCUCACACUCCCUUUUUUCCUUGUCCAGCCUUUGCAUAUUUCUGGCCUCCGUUCCCAACUUCUGUUUGGUAAAUUUUCUCAAUUCUACGAAUUUAUUUGUGCCCUUUUUGGAUUCCAUUGGAAUCCGUUUUUUACCCACAUAACCUAACGUUUUCUGGAAACAUUGGUCUUCGAAUUUUGGGGGUUUUUGUAUGCAAGCUUGCACGCCCUUUGUGAUCAAGCUGUAAAAGAUAAAGGUCGUACCCAGUGCACAAGGCUCCCGCUUUACGCAGGGUCUGGGAGAGGUGAAUGUCGGCUAGCCUUACCCCCAUUCGUUAGCUGUAAAAGAUAAAUAAAUAAAUUUGGGGUUUUUGUUUGUGUGUUCGGAUUUGAAUGUUGGUGUAUGAUUUGGUAUGCUUCCGGACUUCCAGUCCACAGUUGAGAGACAAGGAAGUUUCAAGAUAUGAAAGUUUAGGGUUUUUGUUUCGCCACGAAGUAAAGUGGUAUUGAAGCUAAGCAACCUAACUCAGCCAUUAAAAAUUGUGCUCGAGUUUAGUGUAUUAAGAAUGGGGAAGGAGUUUAAGGUCGAAGUGGAAGUGAAUGGCCGUGUUCGCCAUAAGAAUUUAUUGAGGUUGCUUGGUUAUUCAACUGAAGGAGCUCAUAGAUUUAAAAACAACGAUUGGGCAGUUCUCUCUGGUAAUUGUGUGGAUGGAGUUGGUUUCCUUUCUCCACUUUUACUAAUUUUAUUUAAGUUCAUCCAUGCCAUAUAAUUGUUUUGGGAGUUAUUUGGAAUUUAAUUCAACUCUUCUGUGUUUCAUUUAACGAAGAUUCGAAAUUUAUUAAAUAGUUUACUAAUUUUGUGUGUUUUUUUCCUUAAAACAUGUGACUCAACUUUUUCUCUUAGAGCGAAGAACAUGCAUUCACGUUACUUAGGGUUGUCCGCAAUAGAAACUUACAGAAACCUUUGGCCUAGGCUUGAAAAUUUUGUCUUUGGCUGACUGAUCAAUGCUGACAGGUAAAGUUAUAGUUAUUUAUAAGAACUUCUUGAAUAUUCUUAGAUCUCAGGUCUAUUUGGGGCGGGUGUUUUGCCAGUUGGAGUUCAUUUUGGGAAUUGAUUGACGGUUUUGGUUUUAGGAGAGAGCGGCCCCUGUUUUCUGGGAUGAAUCCUCCUGCCUUGCCGUAUUCAUUGCAAUAUCAUCGAAGGGUCAAUAUUUCUAGUAUUUUUGUUUUUGUUUUUGCUACAUGUUGAUGCAUGUUAAGCCUGCUUUCUUCCAACCUUAAAUGCAUCCUCUUUUCUAUUUGACGAACUAUUGAUACACACACACACACACACACACACACACACACACAUAUAUAUAUAUGUAUAAUUUUGCUUUGGCUACAUCAUGAUGCAUGUUUGUUCUUUGCGAUUUUUUUGUUGGGGGUAAGGUAAGUGAUUUGUUGAGUUGUAAUUUUUGUUGGGGGUAUGUUCGUGUUAUACAAACAGUAAAAUCACAAAAGACUUUAUAUUGUAAACCAUUUUAAUAGUAGAUUGUUACUAGAUUUAUCUAAUUGCAAAAGUUUGAUAUUUUUAUUUUCUGAGUUAAGCAUUUAGCUCCUGGUUUCCACAAAAUCAGUAUUUAAAUAAUUUUUUUCUAUAAGAAUGCGAUGAUGAUAUUUUUUUCCCAACAAAUUUACAUUUGUAUGUGGUUGUGAUGAAUAUGCCUUAUAUGUUGUGUUGUAGAUUAUUUGGGUCGGUAUUGGAAUACAUCUUUUGUAAUCUGAAGCCUAUUACUGAUUUAGCAUUUGCAAAUGGGUAUUCUGCUUAAAUUUACUUUAUUUUAUUUUAUGAUUUUGAAUGUUUUCUUUGUACCUUCCAAUCUUGCAUGUAGGUGUAUAAUUUGGUUUUGUCAUUAAGAUGAGCAAUUUCAAAUGCUUCCUUUGGGGGUUUUCUCAAACAAAUAGUUGAAAUAUCUUAUAUUAGUUAAUGUUAUUACGUUGAUUGUUCAUAUUAUUUGCUUGCAUUUCCUUUUCUUAUGAUUUAUUUAAAAAGAUAAAUUUGCUUAAAUUAGUUUGGUUACUUUACAAGAAAUCUUAUAUGGAUUUUUAAUCGACGAAUUCCAGUUUCUAACACUGCAUUUUCUUCAAUUGUAGGUAUUUGAACGUUAUAUGUCUAAAUUUUGUUCAAUAAUUAGAAAGAACCUUUUGUUCACUAGGUAAAAGCCUAUUGCUUGUAUAGCAUAAAACUAUUCUUACAAAAUCAAAGUAUACAGUGUAUACAUAUGCAGCAGAUACGUUGGAAAUAAAGUACAAUAUAAAAUAUUUUUGUUUUAUUGAUUAAUUGACUAACUUCGUGAUGGUCAUUUGAGGCUAUACAAACUAAAUUUGUUGUAGGUAAGCUCAUAUUUAGGUAAGAACCAUGAAUGUCUCAUCGUUGUCAAUUUUUGCUUAUUCCAGCUUCACAUUAUUCUAAAGCUGUAAUUAUGGAAAGAAAAAAAAGUUUCCAACUAUGACACCCAAGAAAGGUAGUAGCUUCUCUUUCUUUGUUAACUUAUUAAAAAUGAUUUCCUAAGCAGUUUUGUUUUUAAUUUAUUCAUUUGCAGUGUGGAAAAUUUGUGAUUAUCUCAUUGACCCCGCCCUUUACUGCCCGCACAAGUGGUCGACGUUCCGAAUCGCUUUUUUUUACAAAGGAAAAUCCAUAUGCAAACUAAUCUACUACAACUCAAAGUUAAAGAUCAGGAAGAGCUCAUGAAAGAAGCAGUGACAAGCAUUUUACAAACGUCUCGUAGUUUUCAUUCAACAAUCCAGGCGUAUACAGUCACUGGGUUGGAAUUUAUAUGCGUCUUAUGUUUCUACUCCCUGGUUUGGUAAAGAAGAAACUUAUAUUUUGUUUUACAUUUAACUCAGUAUAAAUUUUAGGGGUUGUGUUUUUAGUAUUUUCGGGUCUGAGUUCUGUAUAUAUCAGAAUAACACUAACUUUUUGUAUGUUUUGUGAAUUUGUUGUUAUUCUAGCAGGAACUGCCAUGGUGGCAGGGAACAAACAUAAAAGCAGUGUUAUUCCAGAAUUUGAUAAUAUUAUUCAACAAUGUGGUGAGCUUUCUCAUUACAUUGGGUACGAUUGUUAAAACUUUCAAUUCAUUGUACCUAUAUUGAAACAAUUUUUUAUGAUACAAUCUUAUAUAUUUCGAAUAUAAUCUUUCAUACAAUUUCUAAUUCCACAGCAA